AAAGUAAAAUUUAAGUCGAGACCAAAGUAUUGGCAAUACAACGUCCAUUGCUUGCAACAUGACAAUAGUAGGACAAUGAACUAGCACUGCAGCUUCCAAAGCCAACACAAAAAAAGUAAAAAGUGGGGGCAACAGUGCCUAUCAAAAGAUGAACAAAAAGGGCAAAAGGAGAAUUUAAGAUGCUCUUAAUAACCAAUCUUU
Molecule: long non-coding RNA, 201 nt
Filed under: Carica papaya (papaya)
Lineage: Eukaryota; Viridiplantae; Streptophyta; Magnoliopsida; Brassicales; Caricaceae
Description: long non-coding RNA (CPAP_LNC011025)
Source: RNAcentral